RNAcentral lists this long non-coding RNA (402 nucleotides) under Brassica napus (rape). RNAcentral describes it as "long non-coding RNA (BNAP_LNC020852)". The record is from RNAcentral. Lineage: Eukaryota; Viridiplantae; Streptophyta; Magnoliopsida; Brassicales; Brassicaceae.
AAAGAUUUUGUGAAAUCCAAAAAAUGGAAUUUAUAUAGAAAAAUAGUUUUGUAAAAUACAAAAAUCGAUUUUAUAUACAAAAAUCGAUUUUAUAAAUACAAAAAAAAUAAAAAAAAUUAUAAAAAAAUUCUAAAUCAAUUCAACAAAACAAAUUAUUCAACCAAAUCACAAUUCUAAACCUAUUAUACAACCAAAUCACAAUCCUAACCAAUCACCCUAACAAAAAUCUAUCAAAACUACACAAAAACCUAACAAAUAGAACCUAAGAGAGUGGUAUAGGGUCCUUACAUGAUUUGUGUAAGAGAAGGGGGAGAUCGCCGGAGAUAUCGUCGGAUUUCAGGGAGAAAUCGCCGGAGAGAAGUGAGGAGUCGCGCAGAGGAAGAAGAGAGAAAUGAGGAAGAA